UUACGGGAGGCAGCAGUAAGGAAUAUUGGUCAAUGGGGGCAACCCUGAACCAGCCAUGCCGCGUGCAGGAAGACGGCCCUACGGGUUGUAAACUGCUUUUAUACGGGAAUAAACCUCUCUACGUGUAGAGAGUUGAAUGUACUGUAAGAAUAAGGAUCGGCUAACUCCGUGCCAGCAGCCGCGGUAAUACGGAGGAUCCAAGCGAUAUCCGGAUUUAUUGGGUUUAAAGGGUGCGUAGGCGGCCUAUUAAGUCAGGGGUGAGAGACGGUGGCUCAACCAUCGCAGUGCCCUUGAUACUGAUGGGCUUGAUUACACUUGAGGUAGGCGGAAUGUGACAAGUAGCGGUGAAAUGCAUAGAUAUGUCACAGAACACCAAUUGCGAAGGCAGCUUACUAAGGUGUUAAUGACGCUGAGGCACGAAAGCGUGGGGAUCAAACAGGAUUAGAUACCCGAGUAU
This 457-nucleotide ribosomal RNA is filed under the name uncultured bacterium. RNAcentral describes it as "bacterial SSU rRNA". It matches the Rfam family "Bacterial small subunit ribosomal RNA", at positions 339 to 793 of the family's 1533-position model. The record is from RNAcentral.